AUGGCAGAAGGAGUACUCUUCAACGUUGCAGAAGGGAUCAUUGGAAGGUUAGGCUUCCUUGUUUUCCAAGAGAUUGCAUUGCUUUGGAGUGUCAAAGAUGACCUCCAAAAGCUGAAGGAGAAAGUUGCCCAACUCCAAGCUGUUCUUCUUGAUGCUGAGCAAAAACAAGCCAACAAUAAUGAAGUCAAAGUGUGGCUCCAAAGCGUAGAAGAUGCAGUUUAUGAAGCUGAUGACGUGCUCGAUGAGUUUUAUACUGAAGCUCAGUGGAGACAAAUGGUGCCCGGAAAUAAUAUAGUGUCAAAGCAGGUACGCAACUUCUUCUCUAGCUCAAACCAGCUUGUUUUUGGGCUGAAAAUUGGUCAUACGAUAAAAGAUCUUGACAAGAGACUUCAUGAGAUUACCUCGAAUAGAACAUUUGGUCAAUUACAAGUGAACCACGAAGAUGCACGAUUUGUAAUAAGAGAGAGGGUCACCCACUCAUUUGUCCGCGAGGAUAAUAUAAUAGGGAGAGAUGAAGAUAAAAGAGCAAUUAUUCAACUUUUGUUGGAUUUGGAUCCCAUCCCUACAAAGAAUGUCUCAUCGAUUUCCAUAGUUGGAUUUGGAGGAUUGGGAAAAACUACACUUGCCCAACUAGUUUUAAACGAUGAGAUGGUUGAGAAGCAUUUUGAGCUGAAAAUGUGGAUAUGUGUGUCAAAUGUAUUUGAGUUGGAUAUACUUGUUAAGAAAAUCAUUCAAUCUGCAACUAAUGACAUAGUCAAAAGCCUUGAGAUUGAUCAGUUGCAAAAAGAACUGAGGAAAAUAAUAGAUGGGAAGAGAUACCUCCUUGUGUUGGACGAUGUAUGGAAUGAUAAUCGUGAAAAAUGGUUUGGCUUGCAAAACUUGUUGAUGGGUGGUGGAAAGGGUAGUAAAAUACUAAUAACUACUCGUAGUGAAACAAUUGCAAAAAUAACAGACGCAUCUAAACCAUAUAAGUUAAGGGGUUUAAGUGAAGAGCGGUCUUGGUAUUUGUUUAAGAAAAUGGCAUUCCAAGAUGGAAAAGAGCCAACGAGUUCAACCAUUAAGGCCCUUGGGGAGGAGAUUGCUAGAAAAUGUAAAGGGGUUCCGCUUGCUAUAAGGACCAUAGGACGGAUGAUGUACACUAGAGAUCCAGAAACUGAGUGGUCGGCUUUCAAGAAUAACAAGCUUUCAACAAUAAGGCAAGAAGAAAAUGAUAUUUUACCAACACUUCAGCUGAGUUAUGAUGUUCUUCCAUCACAUUUGAAACAUUGUUUUGCUUAUUGUAGUUUGUUCCCGCCUGACUUUUCUUUUCUUAAGACAAGAGUGGUGGGGAAAAUCAUUCCAUAAGUCAUUUUGUGCUACAAUUGCUUCAAAUUUUAAGUCAUUGCGUAUGUUGAGUUUGGAUGGAUUGGACAUUAUAAAAUUGCCAAAAUGUCUUAGGAAAAUGAUACAUUUAAGAUAUCUUGAUCUUAGUAGAAAUCCCAUUAACAGACUUCCAAAUUGGAUAGUGAAACUUCAAAAUUUGGAAACACUAGAUCUCUCAAGAUGUGAGUCUCUUUUGGAAUUGCCUAGAGAUAUCAAGAAAUUGAUCAACUUAAGACAUCUCAUUUUGGCAAAUUGUGACGACUUGGCUUGGAUUCCUCGUGGAUUGGGUGAAUUGACUCAUCUUCGUACUUUGAAUACAUUUGUUUUGAGUGAAAACAAAUCCAUGUUGAGGGACAGUGCAGGGCUCAGUGAGUUGGGAAAGCUGAAGAAUUUAAGAGGAGAGUUGAAAAUCAAAAUUUUGAGGUGCGAGCAAGAUAUGGUGUCAGAAUUGAAUUAUGAUUGUGCAGUUUUGAAGGAGAAAAGACAUCUCUAUUCGUUGGCUUUAUAUUGGAUGGACAUUGAAAGAGAAAAUAAUGAUGCGGAGGAGAGUGAUGUAAUUAUAAAGUCAAUGGAAGCGCUGCAGCCCCAUUCGAGUCUAAAAGAGUUAGUCUUGAACGGAUACCCGGGUGCGAGGUUUGCGAGUUGGUUUCAUUCUCUCACAAAUAUUGUUAAUCUCAGAUUGUCUCACUGUGAUAGAUGCCAACAUCUUCCACCGUUGGAUCAUUUACCUUUUCUUAAGAGUCUUUAUCUUAACGAGUUAAGGAAUUUGGAGCACAUAUCUGCAGAAGACAAGGUCAAGGACUUCGCCGGUGAUGUGAUGAUGAUGUCAGCUGCUUCUCCAUCGACGACCUUCUUUCCCUCCUUAGAGAAGCUUUCUCUAAUUGAUUGCCCUAAUCUCAAGGGAUGGUGGAGGAAUGAAACAGCUUCAGCUUCAGCUUCUUCAUUUCCUUGUCUUUCUAUUUUAUCUAUAUAUGGUUGUCCUAACCUAUCUUCCAUGCCGCUGUACCCAAAUCUUUAUGAACUGCGGUUACAGAAAAGCAGCUGGAAGGUCCUUCCCUCCUUCUUUGUUCCCUCUUACAAAUUAACAAAUCUGGAGAUUAGGGGCGUUGAGGAUAUAGAAUAUGUGCCAGAAGAAGGGAUUGGAAACCUCACAUUACUUGAGAAGCUUGAAAUUCAAGAUUGUCCUAAUUUGGUAUCACUACCAGAUCAAGGAUGG
This is an RNA transcript of Prunus dulcis (almond), 2578 nucleotides long. It is a transcript of the gene named disease resistance protein RGA2-like, with no coding region annotated. The record is from RefSeq and is a predicted model, not a curated record. NCBI's taxonomy places the organism in Eukaryota, Viridiplantae, Streptophyta, Magnoliopsida, Rosales, Rosaceae. The transcript has a single exon.